Molecule: ribosomal RNA, 328 nt
Filed under: uncultured eukaryote
Lineage: Eukaryota
Description: partial 18S ribosomal RNA
Rfam family: Eukaryotic small subunit ribosomal RNA
Source: RNAcentral
CCCUUAGAUGUCCUGGGCCGCACGCGCGCUACACUGAUGCAUGCAACGAGUUUAUAACCUUGGCCUGAAAGGUCUGGGUAAUCUUUUGAACGUGCAUCGUGAUAGGGAUAGAUUAUUGCAAUUGUUAAUCUUGAACGAGGAAUUCCUAGUAAACGCGAGUCAUCAGCUCGCAUUGAUUACGUCCCUGCCCUUUGUACACACCGCCCGUCGCACCUACCGAUUGAAUGGUUCGGUGAAGAUCUCGGACUUUGAUAUUUAUUCUUUAUUGAGUUUAUAUUGUGGGAAGUUAUCUAAACCUCAUCAUUUAGAGGAAGGUGAAGUCGUAACA